CUAUGCGCCUUGCCAGCCCGCUCAGGUGUGCCAGCAGCCGCGGUAAUACAGAGGUCUCAAGCGUUGUUCGGAAUCACUGGGCGUAAAGCGUGCGUAGGCGGUUUCGUAGGUCGUGUGUGAAAGGCGGGGGCUCAACCCCCGGACUGCACAUGAUACUGCGAGACUAGAGUAAUGGAGGGGGAACCGGAAUUCUCGGUGUAGCAGUGAAAUGCGUAGAUAUCGAGAGGAACACUCGUGGCGAAGGCGGGUUCCUGGACAUUAACUGACGCUGAGGCACGAAGGCCAGGGGAGCGAAAGGG
RNAcentral lists this ribosomal RNA (299 nucleotides) under uncultured bacterium. Its description in RNAcentral is "partial 16S ribosomal RNA". It matches the Rfam family "Bacterial small subunit ribosomal RNA", at positions 475 to 776 of the family's 1533-position model. The record is from RNAcentral.